Molecule: ribosomal RNA, 492 nt
Filed under: uncultured bacterium
Lineage: Bacteria
Description: partial 16S ribosomal RNA
Rfam family: Bacterial small subunit ribosomal RNA
Source: RNAcentral
AGUGAACGCUGGCGGUAGGCCUAACACAUGCAAGUCGAGCGGCAGCACAGUAAGAGCUUGCUCUUACAGGUGGCGAGUGGCGGACGGGUGAGAAAUACAUCGGAAUCUACUUUUUCGUGGGGGAUAACGUAGGGAAACUUACGCUAAUACCGCAUACGACCUACGGGUGAAAGCAGGGGAUCUUCGGACCUUGCGCGAUUGAAUGAGCCGAUGUCGGAUUAGCUAGUUGGCGGGGUAAAGGCCCACCAAGGCGACGAUCCGUAGCUGGUCUGAGAGGAUGAUCAGCCACACUGGAACUGAGACACGGUCCAGACUCCUACGGGAGGCAGCAGUGGGGAAUAUUGGACAAUGGGCGCAAGCCUGAUCCAGCCAUACCGCGUGUGUGAAGAAGGCCUUCGGGUUGUAAAGCCCUUUUGUUGGGAAAGAAAAGCAGCAGGUUAAUACCCCGCUGUUCUGACGUUACCCAAAGAAUAAGCACCGGCUAACUUCGUG